Molecule: ribosomal RNA, 600 nt
Filed under: uncultured bacterium
Lineage: Bacteria
Description: bacterial SSU rRNA
Rfam family: Bacterial small subunit ribosomal RNA
Source: RNAcentral
AACGAACGCUGGCGGCAGGCCUAACACAUGCAAGUCGAACGAAGGCCCGGAGCUUGCUCCGGUGUCCUUAGUGGCAGACGGGAUAGUAACGCGUGGGAAUUUGCCCAGUACUACGGAAUAACAGCGGGAAACUGCUGCUAGUACCGUAUACGCCCUCCGGGGGAAAGAUUUAUCGCUAUUGGAUAAGCCCGCGUCGAAUUAGCUUGUUGGUGAGGUAAUGGCUCACCAAGGCGACGAUUCGUAGCUGGUCUGAGAGGACGAUCAGCAUCACUGGGACUGACACACGGCCCAGACUCCUACGGGAGGCAGCACUGGGGAAUAUUGGACAAUGGGCGCAAGCCUGAUCCAGCCAUGCCGCGUGAGUGAAGAAAGCCUUACGGUUGUAAAGCUCUUUCACCAGGGAAGAUGAUGACGGUACCUGCAGAAGAAGCCCCGGCCAACUCCGUGCCAGCAGCCGCGGUAAUACGGAGGGGGCAAGCGUUGUUCGGAAUUACUGGGCGUAAAGCGCGCGUAGGCGGUUAGUUUAGUCACGCGUGAAAUCCCGGGGCUCAACCCCGGAACUGCGCUUGGUACUGGCUAACUAGAGGUCUGGAGAGGGUA